Molecule: long non-coding RNA, 545 nt
Organism: Arabidopsis thaliana (thale cress)
Lineage: Eukaryota; Viridiplantae; Streptophyta; Magnoliopsida; Brassicales; Brassicaceae
Product: other RNA
Exons: 1
Source: RefSeq
ACCCCAGUCAUUAGAAACUGACUGUCUAAGUUCUUUAAACAUUCUCAGAAAAUCUCUACCUCCUCUACCCGGCUGAACCACCUCAACCGAAGAAGCUCCACCGCCUUCACCAAACAACUGUUUCGGCAGCUUCACAGCACCAUCCAACAUCCUAGAAGCCACAUCUGUGCUCGUAGCAAGCGGUAACUUCCCUUGCGCUUGAAGAAAAACCUUCAAUUCAUCACUGUUCCUGAUCACAGGAUGUGCAACAAGCCUACGCAAAUACUUCUCCAAUGCAACUCUUCUCUGCUCCACAAACUCUUGCUUUUGCAUCACUUGACUCUCAACUAUACUCUUAUCUGGCCUCGGUGGAAUGCAGAAACCUCUAUAAGACUCAGCUAAUCUAUCAGCCAAUGUAACAAUGUCUCUGAAUCUUCUCCUCACGCUAAACUCCGAUCCACCGUAGUCAGAGAGAUUCGUUCUAGUUGUAAUCUGGUAAGUGAUGUAAGUACUUCCUCCAGGAAUCAUUGAAUUUGUGGCCUCUUGCUCUUUCUGAGGGUUAGAAA